GUGGGCAUAGCUCAGUUGGUUAGAGCGCUGGAUUGUGGUUCCAGAGGUCGCCGGUUCAAAUCCGGUUGUCCACC
RNAcentral lists this transfer RNA (74 nucleotides) under Lewinella sp. RNAcentral's name for it is "tRNA-His". It matches the Rfam family "tRNA". From Rfam's summary of the family: Transfer RNA (tRNA) molecules are approximately 80 nucleotides in length. Their secondary structure includes four short double-helical elements and three loops (D, anti-codon, and T loops). RNAcentral also lists the same sequence under 1 other name. The record is from RNAcentral. Lineage: Bacteria; Pseudomonadati; Bacteroidota; Saprospiria; Saprospirales; Lewinellaceae.